UACGUAGGGUGCAAGCGUUGUCCGGAAUCAUUGGGCGUAAAGAGCGCGUAGGCGGCCCUGUAAGUCCGCUGUGAAAGUCAAGGGCUCAACCCUUGAAUGCCGGUGGAUACUGCAGGGCUAGAGUCCGGAAGAGGCGAGUGGAAUUCCUGGUGUAGCGGUGGAAUGCGCAGAUAUCAGGAGGAACACCGAUAGCGAAGGCAGCUCGCUGGGACGGUACUGACGCUGAGGUGCGAAAGCAUGGGGAGCGAACAGG
Molecule: ribosomal RNA, 253 nt
Filed under: uncultured bacterium
Lineage: Bacteria
Description: partial 16S ribosomal RNA
Rfam family: Bacterial small subunit ribosomal RNA
Source: RNAcentral